GACACUGACACCCACACCACGGGCCACAUGACUGUCACACAGUCACUGUCCGUGUCACUGAGAUGGGGUCACGGUGGAAUUGUACAGAUUACUUUCAACACCUUACAGUGAGUUCUGCGGUGGUGUCCGUGGCCUUGCUGGCUGGGUACUGUACGGUACACAGAAGAAGGCGCCAGCAAGCCGCAGCCAGAGGCAGCGAGCAGAUGGUAUCAGAUCAAGUCGUCGAGGCAGUCACCAGUGCUGCCAAUGAAUACCAAGAGGCACCACCCCUGCAAAGCCCCUUAAAAGAAGAAGAAGAAGAAGAAGAAGAAGAAGAAGAAGAAGAAGAAGAAGAAGAAGAAGAAGAAGAAAAAGAAAAAGAAGUAGAAGAUAAAGAAAAAAGAAGUAGAAGAAAAAGUAGAAGAAAAAGUACUACAUAUGGUCAUGAUAGGAAUAGCAGUGCAUGCCCGUGGCGACACUUCCGACGCCUGUUCUCACAAAUGAGUUCAAUUUCUAGCUUUCUUUUGAUUGUCUGUGUUAGGGACAGAACACCUGAACACGAAUUCAUCUCAAGUCUAUCCAUCGAUUUCACCGCCACAACUGAGAGUGUGACUAUCUUGGAAGAAUUGGAGCAAUAUCGUACAGUUGGUGCUGGGUUUCAUAUGCUUAUCACAGGAUCUUGUAAAGAAGUCUGCAAAGUUAUGGAACAGGAACCAUUCUGAAUGAAAAUUUUCAAAAUGGU
Long non-coding RNA from Portunus trituberculatus (swimming crab), 721 nucleotides. RefSeq lists it as uncharacterized. The transcript has 2 exons. NCBI's taxonomy places the organism in Eukaryota, Metazoa, Arthropoda, Malacostraca, Decapoda, Portunidae. The record is from RefSeq and is a predicted model, not a curated record.